Molecule: signal recognition particle RNA, 291 nt
Filed under: Microcebus murinus (gray mouse lemur)
Lineage: Eukaryota; Metazoa; Chordata; Mammalia; Primates; Cheirogaleidae
Description: Metazoan signal recognition particle RNA (ENSMICG00000033245.2)
Rfam family: Metazoan signal recognition particle RNA
About the family: The signal recognition particle (SRP) is a universally conserved ribonucleoprotein. It is involved in the co-translational targeting of proteins to membranes.
Source: RNAcentral
ACCCAGGGCGGUGGACAUGCCUGUACUGGGGAGGCUGAGGAAGGAGGCUCAGCGGAGCCCAGGAGUUCUGAGCUGUAGUGCGCUCUGCCCAUCAUCAGGUGUCCACACUAAGUUCUCCAUCAAUAUGGUGACCUCCAGAAAGCAGGGGCCACCAGGUUGCCUAAGGAGGGGUGAACUGGCCCAGGUUGGAAAUGGAGCAGAUCAAAACUCCCGUGCUGAUCAGUAGCGAGAUUGUGCCUGUGAAUUAGCCAUGGCACCCCAGCCUGAGUGACAUAGUGAGACCUCAUCUCU